Molecule: long non-coding RNA, 1911 nt
Organism: Physeter macrocephalus (sperm whale)
Lineage: Eukaryota; Metazoa; Chordata; Mammalia; Artiodactyla; Physeteridae
Exons: 7
Source: RefSeq, a predicted model, not a curated record
AGGGAGGAGGCCGGCCAAGAUGUUUUGGAGUAUAAUUGUGUAAUUAGGGUGGCUCAUAAAAUAAGAGAACUUCCGGAGGCGCUGUGGUCGGGAUGCGGGCCACAUUCAUGGAAAGAGGUUGAAUGCAUUUUGAAAAACUAUUUGAAAGUUGGAUUGACACCUGAAACUAACACAACAUGGGCUUCCCUGGUGGCGCAGUGGUUAAGAAUCCACCUGCCAAUGCAGGGGACGUGGGUUUGAGCCCUGAUCUGGGAAGACCCCGCAUGCCGCGGAGCAACUAAGCCCAUGCGCCACAACUACUAAACCUGUGCUCUAGAGUCCGUGAGCCACAACCACUGAGCCCACGUGCCACAACUACUGAAGCCCGCACCUAUAGCCCGUGCUCUGCAACUGCAACAAGAGAAGACAUCGCAGCGAAGAGCAGCCCCCGCUCACCGCAGCGAGAGAAAGCCCGCACGCAGCAACAAAGACCCAACACAGCCAAAAAUAAAUUAAAUAAUUUUAAAAAAUCAAUAUAGUGAAUUACAUAGCCCAGACCCCAGGAGGCUAAAGCGUCUACACAUGCUUGAAUGACUCUAGGUUCAUCAAGUGUUUCCCAAACUAAGGAGCAUCUAAGGCAAAGAUUGUUGUCUGUGUCUGUGGAAGCCACCUAAGCGUCCAUCGACAGAUGAACAGAUAAAGAAGGUAUGGUACAAAUAUACAGCGGAAUCCUACUCAGCCAUAAAAAACAAUGAAAUCAUGCCAUUUGCAGCAACACGGAUGGACCUAGAGACGAUCAGACGAAGUGAAGUAAGUCAGACAGAGAAAGGCAAUUAAAAAGCUACAAGUGCCCUAAAAGGUAUUCUACUCUGUGACUUGAACUUACAUAUUAAGAGACUCUAGCCCACGGAGGUUUUCCUCUGCUUUUCUGUGGUAGAGCUGGAUUCACAUGUCUGAUUUCCAUCCCACCUGGACCAUUCUACCGAUGGACCUUCACACAAGUACUGACUUCGCCUAGAAGCCAAAGCUGGUAGUGGUCUGGUCUUGAAGAAUAAGUCUGAAAUGGAGGAAGACAGUAUUGUGAAGCCCCCGGGCCUCCUUUCCAAUUCUUCACAGCUUUGAAUCACCACCCUAUGUGCAUUUGGUUUCCCCACUUCGAGCCCUUCGCAGAACAAGGUCGUGGUGACCUACAGCAGUGACUCACGCCAGGCCUUUCCAUGCCUCCUCGGCAAAGACUCAAGAGUCUUUGCGAAACCUCGGGAUGGUUCCAUGAUGGGGGGUGAAGGGCUCCAUCAGACCUAAUUCAGCUGUGUCUCUUGCUCUUUACCUUUUAAUUAUUGGAUUUAAAGAAUUCCAUAACUGCAAGGAAAGACUUCUUUGGGGUCAGUGUGACCUAUUUUUUUGUUCAUUCAGCAAAUGCUUAUUCAGGAACUACCAUGAACCGUGUGUGUGUGUGUGUGUGUGUGUGUGUGUGUGUGUGUGUGUGUGUGUGUGAUGUUUCUGCCCCAGGUUCCUCUACUUGGUCUUUGACUCUGGUUCCUGACGCAGAGCUCCUAAAAGCCUUGUAAUUUCCUGGGUGAGAGGAGUACCUUUUGUUCUUAUGAGGUGACCCCUGGAUGGCUCCUGGGUAGGGCCUGGUCACCAGAAAACAAAGCCAUGAUUAGAAACUUGGAGCUUUCAGCCUUGCUCCCCGUUCUCUAGAGAAAGUUAAUAAUCGGUCAUGCCUACAUGAUGAAGUCUCCAUAAAAAGUCCCCAAAGUACAGGGUUCAGUGAGCUUGCUGCUGGUGAAUACAUCCACAGACCAGGACAGUGACACACCCCGGUUCCAUGGAGACAAAGGCUACUGGGCUUGGGACCCUUGGGACCCUGUGUACAUCUUCAUUUGUAUAUGUUAUCCUUUUUUUGUAUAAUAAACCGGUAAAUUAAGUGUU